CCAAUAUAUAUAUAUAACAAUCCUAUGUAUUUUCUAAAUGCAAACAGAAUCUUACUCAGGUAUCCGGUUUUGACAGAUCAUUCCAUUAUUUUUGCACGACAUUUGGCAAAUACGAUACUACUUUUUUAGAAUCGUCAGGUACGACGAAGCACAGGAUCUUUAAGCCAUUCGUGCGCGUUUCUCGCGAGGAAUAUUGUCACGUGACGUGGAAGAUUGCGGUGCAAAAACCAGAAUCCCCACACCAAGUUGUUCAAUGUGUUUGGACGAAGCGUGACGCAGAUUAGCAAUAACAAUAACCCGCCGAUAAGGAGUCACGGGCAGGAUGCAUGUCCUCCUGAAAGAAAGACAGGCAGAAGGAUAAG
This 362-nucleotide unclassified non-coding RNA is filed under the name Camponotus floridanus (Florida carpenter ant). RNAcentral's name for it is "uncharacterized LOC112639632, transcript variant X1". The record is from RNAcentral. Lineage: Eukaryota; Metazoa; Arthropoda; Insecta; Hymenoptera; Formicidae.